UCGUACGAUACUUGGUAUACGCUAUCACUGGCUAUAUCGGGCUGCGACAGAGUGGUAUCAGAGCAGCUCGUCUGCUCUGAGUAUAAUCUCUUAUAGAGUUUUUUUUAUUGAGUCUAAGCUAGAGUCUUAGACUAAAAGAGCUAUGUCACUGACAAGAGCCAACACCCCAUCUCCGCCAGCUUGACGAGGUAUGCAAGUUAAAGUUUAAAGUUACUUAUGAGCAUGAGAUAUGCAAUUGAUAAGUUGAUGAUAUUUAUAAGUUGAGAAAGAAGCAUGAUUAGUACAUGAUGCAAUA
This 295-nucleotide long non-coding RNA is filed under the name Salvia miltiorrhiza (redroot sage). Its description in RNAcentral is "long non-coding RNA (SMIL_LNC008992)". Lineage: Eukaryota; Viridiplantae; Streptophyta; Magnoliopsida; Lamiales; Lamiaceae. The record is from RNAcentral.